RNAcentral lists this long non-coding RNA (255 nucleotides) under Elaeis guineensis (African oil palm). Its description in RNAcentral is "long non-coding RNA (EGUI_LNC042656)". The record is from RNAcentral. Lineage: Eukaryota; Viridiplantae; Streptophyta; Magnoliopsida; Arecales; Arecaceae.
UUCUUUUUCAAUUUGAAUCCCUUCCCCACUAGAUCUAAAAUCCAUCAUUUAGGACCUGAAAUCACACUUGAUAAAGCCUCCAAAAAAUAAAAAUAAGACCUGGAACUUUUCUUGGGCGGCCAAGAGGGGGCGCUAAAAAUAGGGGCGUGCACAAAGGGGGGCGUUGGUUUCUAGCACCUCCUUUCUUUUCUUUUUGGGGUGGUGGCCAAGAAACCUUAGAUUUCUUGGUUCUAGGGCAUGGAGAAGAUCAGAGAG